RNAcentral lists this long non-coding RNA (1317 nucleotides) under Capra hircus (goat). RNAcentral's name for it is "lncRNA (ENSCHIG00010009938.1)". The record is from RNAcentral. Lineage: Eukaryota; Metazoa; Chordata; Mammalia; Artiodactyla; Bovidae.
AAACUGCACAAGAGGAUCAAAAUCUCUGGUUUCCUUCCCUCCUCUCUGAAAGAGCAGAAAGAAGGAAGCCAGGGGGCUGUUUCACCAUCCCAGCUGAUCACACCUAGACGUAGCUGCGUCCAGAGUGCUCCGUCUGAAAAAACCAUGCUCUGCUUUCCUGCCCCAACAUCAUCCCACUCCUGUCCCGUCUCCCCACUUCCACUCCCCUCUCCAGCUCAACAGCUUGCCCAUUUCCACUUCCAGCUGCCCUCCUGGCUUCACAUGUUCACCUUCCACAAUGCCCAGUCCUGCCAAACCCAGCCUGCCACAGGCAACCAGGUGUCAGCAGGAACAGCCUAUUUCUCUGUACACACACGUGUGUGUGUGCGCGCACGCACGCUGAUGCCAUUAUAAACUCUUCAAGCGCACCCACCCCCAUGACACCAAGCACGACUAAUGACUGCUCCCAUCUUUAAUUAAUUAUAACUGUUUUCUGCGGAGAAGGCAAUGGCACCCCACUGCAGUACUCUUGCCUGGAAAAUCACAUGGACGGAGGAGCCUGGUAGGCUGCNNNNNNNNNNNNNNNNNNNNNNNNNNNNNNNNNNNNNNNNNNNNNNNNNNNNNNGAGAAGGAAAUGGCAACCCACUCCAGUGUUCUUGCCUGGAGAAUCGCAGGACGCGGGAGCCUGGUAGCCUGCCGUCUAUGGGGUCGCGCAGAGUCGGACACGACUGAAGCGACUUAACAUCAGCAGCAACUAUUUUUUGAGUGCCUACCAUGUGUCAAGCACUCUCCUAAUCACUUUAAAGGAAUUUUAUUUAAUCCUCAAAACACCACCGCCAGGAAUCAGGGACCAUCCUGAUUCUCAUCUUACAGUAAGGAAAUCGGAGGAACCGGGAAGUCACCUGCUCAGGGUCACAACUGUGUCACUUCCGCAGGACUUAACGACCAGCAUCAACGCGACCAGCAUCAACGCUACCGGGCAGGAGCCCGGUCGGUUCACAGUGGCACUAAACUGCUGUGUCAUGAUGCAACAGCAGGUUCCUGAAAGGACAGGAAGAAGGAACCAGGAGAACCGUCGCGGUACAUUCCGGAUAAGGAGGCGGCGAGGGCUAGUGGGGGCUCACACCGAGAGACACUUCCUGGUUAUCGUUACUCAGCAUUUUGUGGGGGUUCGCGAGACUGUGGGGCGGUGGUACAGCGGGUCUUUCCGAGAAACCGUAAAUGGCCUCUUCUCUGGGCGCGUCCGAUUAAGGUGGGGUACAGGUUGACGAUGCCGAAGGUUUCGAGCCCAGACGACUCCCAGGAGCUCCGCCCCUCGCCAGCGCUCGCGCCCGCCCA